UAGGGAAUCUUCGGCAAUGGACGGAAGUCUGACCGAGCAACGCCGCGUGAGUGAAGAAGGUUUUCGGAUCGUAAAGCUCUGUUGUAAGAGAAGAACGAGUGUGAGAGUGGAAAGUUCACACUGUGACGGUAUCUUACCAGAAAGGGACGGCUAACUACGUGCCAGCAGCCGCGGUAAUACGUAGGUCCCGAGCGUUAUCCGGAUUUAUUGGGCGUAAAGCGAGCGCAGGCGGUUAGAUAAGUCUGAAGUUAAAGGCUGUGGCUUAACCAUAGUACGCUUUGGAAACUGUUUAACUUGAGUGCAAGAGGGGAGAGUGGAAUUCCAUGUGUAGCGGUGAAAUGCGUAGAUAUAUGGAGGAACACCGGUGGCGAAAGCGGCUCUCUGGCUUGUAACUGACGCUGAGGCUCGAAAGCGUGGGGAGCAAACAGGAUUAGAUACCCUGGUAGUCCACGCCGUAAACGAUGAGUGCUAGGUGUUANACCCUUUCCGGGGUUUAGUGNCGUAGCUAACGCAUUAAGCACUCCGCCUGGGGAGUACNACCGCAAGGNUG
RNAcentral lists this ribosomal RNA (550 nucleotides) under uncultured bacterium. RNAcentral's name for it is "bacterial SSU rRNA". It matches the Rfam family "Bacterial small subunit ribosomal RNA", at positions 355 to 896 of the family's 1533-position model. The record is from RNAcentral.